AAACCUAAUCAAGGACCCCCCGGGGGGGAUGCGGCCUUUGGGUUGUAAACCUUUUUUCAGCAGGGACGAAGCGAGAGUGACGGUACCUGCAGAAGAAGCCCCGGCCAAUUACGUGCCAGCAGCCGCGGUAAUACGUAGGGUGCGAGCGUUGUCCGGAAUUACUGGGCGUAAAGAGCUCGUAGGCGGUUUGUCGCGUCGUCCGUGAAAACUUGGGGCUCAACCCCAAGCUUGCGGGCGAUACGGGCAGACUUGAGUACUGCAGGGGAGACUGGAAUUCCUGGUGUAGCGGUGAAAUGCGCAGAUAUCAGGAGGAACACCGGUGGCGAAGGCGGGUCUCUGGGCAGUAACUGACGCUGAGGAGCGAAAGCGUGGGUAGCGAACAGGAUUAGAUACCCUGGUAGUCCACGCCGUAAACGGUGGGCGCUAGGUGUGGGUUUCCUUCCACGGGAUCCGUGCCGUAGCUAACGCAUUAAGCGCCCCGCCUGGGGAGUACGGCCGCAAGGCUAAAACUCAAAGGAAUUGACGGGGGCCCGCACAAGCGGCGGAGCAUGUGGAUUAAUUCGAUGCAACGCGAAGAACCUUACCUGGGUUUGACAUAUACCGGAAAGCCGUAGAGAUACGGCCCCCCUUGUGGUCGGUAUACAGGUGGUGCAUGGCUGUCGUCAGCUCGUGUCGUGAGAUGUUGGGUUAAGUCCCGCAACGAGCGCAACCCUUGUCCUGUGUUGCCAGCGCGUAAUGGCGGGGACUCGCAGGAGACUGCCGGGGUCAACUCGGAGGAAGGUGGGGACGACGUCAAGUCAUCAUGCCCCUUAUGUCCAGGGCUUCACACAUGCUACAAUGGCCGGUACAGAGGGCUGCGAUACCGUGAGGUGGAGCGAAUCCCUUAAAGCCGGUCUCAGUUCGGAUCGGGGUCUGCAACUCGACCCCGUGAAGUCGGAGUCGCUAGUAAUCGCAGAUCAGCAACGCUGCGGUGAAUACGUUCCCGGGCCUUGUACACACCGCCCGUCACGUCAUGAAAGUCGGUAACACCCGAAGCCGGUGGCCUAACCCUGUGGAGGGAGCCGUCGA
Molecule: ribosomal RNA, 1068 nt
Filed under: Rhodococcus (subgen. Prescottella) equi
Lineage: Bacteria; Bacillati; Actinomycetota; Actinomycetes; Mycobacteriales; Nocardiaceae
Description: Prescottella equi bacterial SSU rRNA
Rfam family: Bacterial small subunit ribosomal RNA
Source: RNAcentral